RNAcentral lists this long non-coding RNA (567 nucleotides) under Volvox carteri. Its description in RNAcentral is "long non-coding RNA (VCAR_LNC001946)". Lineage: Eukaryota; Viridiplantae; Chlorophyta; Chlorophyceae; Chlamydomonadales; Volvocaceae. The record is from RNAcentral.
GAAUAAUGAAGGCAAAACUGCCUGAAAAAUGGUUCUGCUAUCCAAGGUAGCUGCGCUCUUCCUUGGAGUGAAGUGCGACGUCGCAGGACGUCGUACUUCUAGCUCGGAAACGUCCAUUUGUUAUUCGCUAUCUGACCUGCCAUGCCUAAGCUAGUAUCACUACAGUGAAUACAAACGGAUACUGAAUUAACUUCAUUUACGGCGGAUUCGAACGGAUCCUGAGUGGGAUAUAAUUACAACGGUGGAUCUGAACAGGUCACCAAGCGACCCGACUCAACCGCGACACCAAAUCAGGUCAGUUCGGACCAGUGGGGACCAGUGAGGCCUCGUCAACAAACACGCGCACUACGCAGCUAUAGGCAGGCCCACUUCUAUGUGAACCAACCACGUAAUGUUGCACAAUUGUGCCAGGUCCUUGAUAUCAGCUGGCGUGCCUUUCCGGCGAGAGUGGCGUGGCUGACCAGCAGCUGGGCGCUGUGGGCACCUUGUGUCGUAUCCUAGCUGCGUUUGAUGAAGGAUGAUUGGCGCAGUGUGUCAGGUCCGUGUGGUAGUUAGAUGCGCACCCAC